ACAGCUGCCUUAAAAUCACCAGAAGUCACACUGAGGGAAUCUGUUUCUUUUAUCUACAGACAUGCUGGAUGUGGGGGAGGAGAGUCUAUAUGCAAGAAAACACCUUGUGUUCACCGAGAUCAGUUUACUUCUCAGAGACUUUGACAAUUUUACCUGAUACAGGAGACAGCAUAGCGGCUGCCCAGUAGCCCAACUGUGGAGACACAAAUGUCCAGUACAGCUGAUUUCCCUCCUUGCGGAUAAGUCCAGUUCCAUUCCGGAUCCACAGCCCUAAGAAGAGAGUAUAUGACUGAGUCUGCAGCAAUUAAAAAAGCCAUCUGAAUAACCUGAAAGAAAGGGAACUACUCACCAGCACUAACCUCUCAACCCCUCAUAAUCAAAAUUAUUCAAGAACAUAUGGAUAUAUUGUAAUAUUGUAAUCAGUAUCUGUAUUGUG
Non-coding RNA from Pantherophis guttatus, 436 nucleotides. The record is from RefSeq and is a predicted model, not a curated record. Lineage: Eukaryota; Metazoa; Chordata; Lepidosauria; Squamata; Colubridae.